GGAAUGCUUGGGCGUGCCUCCACCCACGCCGGCGUCGGCGGGCGUAUUUCGCCUCACAGUAGGUCGCCGCGACCCGUUGCUUUUGGGGACGUCGAAGGCCCGGACGGAUUGGUACCCUACCGGCUGGGGAUGCGGCUUCGGCUUCUCCUCUUGUCCGGUGGGCGAAACCGCCGGUGUCCUGGCUGCCCUGCGACGGUCGUAGAGACGAGCCCUCCCCUUCGGGGGGGCGGCUCUCGCGGCGUGCAAAAGGUCGGUGAUCCACCCGACCCGUCUUGAAACACGGACCAAGGAGUCUAACAUGUGUGCGAGUCAGUGGGCGCACUAAACCCAGAGGCGUAAUGAAAGUGACACGGGUUCGGCUGUCGCCUCGUGUGGCAGCCGGACUCAGGGCCGAUCCCUCACCGGUUGCCCUCGCCUCUCUCCCGCGUCUCGGUAAGCCGGGUGAGCUAUUUUCCCCGGCCGCUGCUGCGGGGCUCGGGGGGAGGCGGGGUGCGAUGGUGUCUGUAAAAAAGAGCCUGCUGUUGCAGGGGGGCGCAGGCCCGGGACUUGCCAGGACGCCGCGAGACUGUCACUUUGCUGUGAGGCUCUCGGGCCGAUCAGCGGGUCAUGCGUGCAGUCGGCAAGUACCAUGAGCAGACAUGUUGGGACCCGAAAGAUGGUGAACUAUGCCUGGCCAGGAUGAAGCCAGAGGAAACUCUGGUGGAGGUCCGUAGCGAUUCUGACGUGCAAAUCGAUCGUCGGA
This 742-nucleotide ribosomal RNA is filed under the name Fallicambarus sp. n. 1 JWB-2013. Its description in RNAcentral is "partial 28S ribosomal RNA". The stretch from base 284 to 742 matches the Rfam family "Eukaryotic large subunit ribosomal RNA", at positions 665 to 909 of the family's 3401-position model. The record is from RNAcentral. Lineage: Eukaryota; Metazoa; Arthropoda; Malacostraca; Decapoda; Cambaridae.